This 615-nucleotide long non-coding RNA is filed under the name Zea mays. Its description in RNAcentral is "long non-coding RNA (ZMAY_LNC005146)". The record is from RNAcentral. Lineage: Eukaryota; Viridiplantae; Streptophyta; Magnoliopsida; Poales; Poaceae.
GCAAGCAUACCCACGAAAACCAUAUAUUUCUUCUGUACCAUUCCUAGACAUAUCAUUGGCCAAUAAUAAUGCUGCACAUAAUGGAUCACAUGCAGGUGCUUACUGCCUGCGUAGUGGGUAUGUUACAUGGACAAAUCAGAUGCUGUUUCAGAUAGUACUGUAACAUGUAAUGGAGUACUGAUUACUAUAGCUUCUGUGAGACUAGGCUUUUCCUCUCCUUCACAUGUCGACACAUGGAUGAAAUUCUGCUCCGGACAACUCUUCCUUUGGAAUGAGACAGGCUAAUCAUCUCACUGCGUGCAACUAUCUGCAAUCAUUUUUCUGCUAUUCAUAUUUUGCGCCCGUACAUCCGAGGACAGCAGCGUUAAUCAUCUCCGGACAAAGUUCUUGGAUGAAUCGAUCCUGCUGAUCAGCAAUGCAUGUCUCUAAGAUAUCAAAUAAAUAAUGUUUUACAAAGGGCAACAACAUGUCAAGAACUAAUAUCAAACGUCACCAUUAAAAUGCUGAAUAUCAAGGGAGCAGUGCAUGCAUAACAUGAGAAAUGGAAGCCUUUCUGCUGGCCUAAUAGUAGUGCAGCACCGGAUUUGUCUUAGUUUCCUCAACCGGUGAAUAGAU